UGGGGAAUAUUGGGCAAUGGAGGAAACUCUGACCCAGCGACGCCGCGUGCGGGAUGAAGGCCUCGGGUUGUAAACCGCUUUCAGCAGGGAAGAAGCGAAAGGACGGACCGCAAAGAAGC
RNAcentral lists this ribosomal RNA (119 nucleotides) under uncultured bacterium. RNAcentral's name for it is "partial 16S ribosomal RNA". It matches the Rfam family "Bacterial small subunit ribosomal RNA", at positions 355 to 491 of the family's 1533-position model. The record is from RNAcentral.